GAUGAACGCUAGCUACAGGCUUAACACAUGCAAGUCGAGGGGAAACGAUGGGAGGGCUUGCCCUCCCAGGCGUCGACCGGCGCACGGGUGAGUAACACGUAUCCAACCUGCCCUCUUCCGGGGAACAACCUUGCGAAAGUAAGACUAAUGCCCCAUGUGUCCUCAGACGGCAUCAGACGAGGACGAAAGAUUUAUCGGAAGUGGAUGGGGAUGCGCCUGAUUAGGCAGUUGGCGGGGCAACGGCCCACCAAGCCUACGAUCAGUAGGGGUUCUGAGAGGAAGGUCCCCCCACAUUGGAACUGAGACACGGUCCAAACUCCUACGGGAGGCAGCAGUGAGGAAUAUUGGUCAAUGGACGGAAGUCUGAACCAGCCAAGUAGCGUGCAGGACGACGGCCCUAUGGGUUGUAAACUGCUUUUAUAAGGGAAUAAAGUGGGUCACGUGUGACUUUUUGCAUGUACCUUAUGAAUAAGGACCGGCUAAUUCCGUG
Molecule: ribosomal RNA, 490 nt
Filed under: uncultured bacterium
Lineage: Bacteria
Description: bacterial SSU rRNA
Rfam family: Bacterial small subunit ribosomal RNA
Source: RNAcentral